Molecule: ribosomal RNA, 253 nt
Filed under: uncultured bacterium
Lineage: Bacteria
Description: partial 16S ribosomal RNA
Rfam family: Bacterial small subunit ribosomal RNA
Source: RNAcentral
UACGGAGGGGGCUAGCGUUGUUCGGAAUUACUGGGCGUAAAGCGCGCGUAGGCGGCUUUGUAAGUUAGAGGUGAAAGCCCGGAGCUCAACUCCGGAAUUGCCUUUAAGACUGCAUCGCUAGAAUCAUGGAGAGGUGAGUGGAAUUCCGAGUGUAGAGGUGAAAUUCGUAGAUAUUCGGAAGAACACCAGUGGCGAAGGCGACUUACUGGACAUGUAUUGACGCUGAGGUGCGAAAGCGUGGGGAGCAAACAGG